RNAcentral lists this ribosomal RNA (229 nucleotides) under uncultured bacterium. RNAcentral describes it as "partial 16S ribosomal RNA". It matches the Rfam family "Bacterial small subunit ribosomal RNA", at positions 1272 to 1500 of the family's 1533-position model. The record is from RNAcentral.
UCUCAAAAAUAACGUCUCAGUUCGGACUGUAGUCUGCAACCCGACUACACGAAGCUGGAAUCGCUAGUAAUCGCGAAUCAGAAUGUCGCGGUGAAUACGUUCCCGGGUCUUGUACACACCGCCCGUCACACCAUGGGAGUUGGUAAUGCCCGAAGUCAGUGACCCAACCGCAAGGAGGGAGCUGCCGAAGGCAGGACUGAUAACUGGGGUGAAGUCGUAACAAGGUAUC